CCUACGGGAGGCAGCAGUGGGGAAUAUUGCACAAUGGGGGAAACCCUGAUGCAGCAACGCCGCGUGAAGGAAGACGGUUUUCGGAUUGUAAACUUCUGUUCUUAGUGAAGAAUAAUGACGGUAGCUAAGGAGCAAGCCACGGCUAACUACGUGCCAGCAGCCGCGGUAAUACGUAGGUGGCAAGCGUUGUCCGGAAUUACUGGGUGUAAAGGGAGCGCAGGCGGGAAGCCAAGUCAGCUGUGAAAACUACGGGCUUAACUUGUAGACUGCAGUUGAAACUGGUUUUCGUGAGGGAAGUAGAGGUUGGCGGAAUUCCGAGUGUAGCGGUGAAAUGCGUAGAUAUUCGGAGGAACACCGGUGGCGAAGGCGGCCAACUGGGCUUUAACUGACGCUGAGGCUCGAAAGUGUGGGGAGCAAACAGGAUUAGAUACCCGUGUAGUC
This 441-nucleotide ribosomal RNA is filed under the name uncultured bacterium. RNAcentral describes it as "partial 16S ribosomal RNA". It matches the Rfam family "Bacterial small subunit ribosomal RNA", at positions 338 to 795 of the family's 1533-position model. The record is from RNAcentral.